UACGGGGGGGGCAAGCGUUGUUCGGAAUUACGGGGCGUAAAGGGCUCGUAGGCGGCCAACUAAGUCAGACGUGGAAUCCCUCGGCUUAACCGGGGAACUGCGUCUGAUACUGGAUGGCUUGAGUUUGGGAGAGGGAUGCGGAAUUCCAGGUGUAGCGGUGAAAUGCGUAGAUAUCUGGAGGAACACCGGUGGCGAAGGCGGCAUCCUGGACCAACACUGACGCUGAGUGAGCGAAAGCCAGGGGAGCAAACGGG
Molecule: ribosomal RNA, 254 nt
Filed under: uncultured bacterium
Lineage: Bacteria
Description: partial 16S ribosomal RNA
Rfam family: Bacterial small subunit ribosomal RNA
Source: RNAcentral